This 253-nucleotide ribosomal RNA is filed under the name uncultured bacterium. RNAcentral's name for it is "partial 16S ribosomal RNA". It matches the Rfam family "Bacterial small subunit ribosomal RNA", at positions 524 to 776 of the family's 1533-position model. The record is from RNAcentral.
UACGUAGGGUGCGAGCGUUAAUCGGAAUUACUGGGCGUAAAGCGUGCGCAGGCGGUUCGUUGUGUCGGCGGUGAAAGCCCCGGGCUUAACCUGGGAAUGGCCGUUGAGACUGGCGGACUCGAGUGUGGCAGAGGGGGGUGGAAUUCCGCGUGUAGCAGUGAAAUGCGUAGAGAUGCGGAGGAACACCGAUGGCGAAGGCAGCCCCCUGGGCUAACACUGACGCUCAGGCACGAAAGCGUGGGGAGCAAACAGG